RNAcentral lists this ribosomal RNA (376 nucleotides) under uncultured bacterium. Its description in RNAcentral is "bacterial SSU rRNA". It matches the Rfam family "Bacterial small subunit ribosomal RNA", at positions 524 to 898 of the family's 1533-position model. The record is from RNAcentral.
GACGAAGGUGGCAAGCGUUGUUCGGAAUUACUGGGCUUAAAGGGCGCGUAGGCGGUUCGUCAAGUGUCUUGUGAAAUCCCCCGGCUCAACCGGGGAAUUGCUGGGCAAACUGACGAACUUGAGGCAGGUAGGGGCGAGUGGAACUCUUGGUGGAGCGGUGGAAUGCGUAGAUAUCAAGAGGAACACCAGUGGUGAAGACGACUCGCUGGGCCUGUCCUGACGCUGAGGCGCGAAAGCCAGGGGAGCAAACGGGAUUAGAUACCCCGGUAGUCCUGGCCCUAAACGAUGUCAACUAGGUCCGAGGCACUCUGACGUGUUUCUGGCCGAAACAAAAGCGUUAAGUUGACCGCCUGGGGAGUACGGUCGCAAGGCUAAA